RNAcentral lists this ribosomal RNA (573 nucleotides) under Aureobasidium pullulans. RNAcentral's name for it is "partial large subunit ribosomal RNA". It matches the Rfam family "Eukaryotic large subunit ribosomal RNA", at positions 36 to 625 of the family's 3401-position model. Lineage: Eukaryota; Fungi; Ascomycota; Dothideomycetes; Dothideales; Saccotheciaceae. The record is from RNAcentral.
AAGCAUAUCAAUAAGCGGAGGAAAAGAAACCAACAGGGAUUGCCCUAGUAACGGCGAGUGAAGCGGCAACAGCUCAAAUUUGAAAGCUAGCCUUCGGGUUCGCAUUGUAAUUUGUAGAGGAUGCUUUGGGUAAAACGCCAGUCUAAGUUCCUUGGAACAGGACGUCAUAGAGGGUGAGAAUCCCGUAUGUGACUGGAAAUGUUAACCUAUGUAAAGCUCCUUCGACGAGUCGAGUUGUUUGGGAAUGCAGCUCUAAAUGGGAGGUAAAUUUCUUCUAAAGCUAAAUAUUGGCGAGAGACCGAUAGCGCACAAGUAGAGUGAUCGAAAGAUGAAAAGCACUUUGGAAAGAGAGUUAAAAAGCACGUGAAAUUGUUGAAAGGGAAGCGCUUGCAAUCAGACUUGUUUAAACUGUUCGGCCGGUCUUCUGACCGGUUUACUCAGUUUGGACAGGCCAGCAUCAGUUUCGGCGGCCGGAUAAAGGCUCUGGGAAUGUGGCCUCCACUUCGGUGGAGGUGUUAUAGCCCAGUGUGUAAUACGGCCAGCCGGGACUGAGGUCCGCGCUCGGCUAGGAUG